RNAcentral lists this long non-coding RNA (444 nucleotides) under Ovis aries (sheep). RNAcentral describes it as "lncRNA (ENSOARG00000026177.1)". The record is from RNAcentral. Lineage: Eukaryota; Metazoa; Chordata; Mammalia; Artiodactyla; Bovidae.
AUUAUUCCCAUUUUUCAAAGGAGGGAGGAAGUAGAUAAUCAAAUAGCUCUAAACUGUUCAAAAGUUCUCAAAUGAUUAAUAAAUAAAGUUCAAAAUCAUUAUUAAGAAUAUAAAGUGGUACACAGUCAAGUUCCUACAGACGUUUCUGGCUUUAUUUCUGCCACCCUUGUCUCUGAGCUCCCUCCAUCAACACUUUCUCUAACAAAAUGAAAGAAUAUCUGAAUUUAAACGAAAUGACUCCUCAUUCUAGAACCCCAGUGUCAAGUCUACAUCAUGAUCUCCAUGACUGCAUUCAUAGUGAUUCCAUGGCCUGAAACAUAUUGGACCCAAUAUGUGUUGAAAAUGGAAUUUCCAAUAUUUCAAGAUGCAGUUCAAAGGUCACUGCUUCUCAGAAGAAUACCUGCUUCCUCUGUGAGACCUCAAGAACAUGGGUUAGCAGGAUGA